UGGGGCGGGAUAUGGGGCGGGAUAUGGGGUGGGAUAUGGGGAAUCCCUAUGGCAUGGUAUCCCUAUGGGGACUCCCAAUGGGGUGUCCUUAUGUGGUAUCCCUAUGGGGUGUUCUAUGGGGUGUCCCUAUGGGGUGGCUGUCUUUAUGGGGUGUCCCUAUGGGGUGUCUAUGGGUCCCUAUGUGUUUCUAUGGGUCCCUAUGGGUCUCUAUGGGUCCCUAUGUGUUUCUAUGGGGUCUCUAUGGGUCUCCAUGGGUCCCUAUGGGUCCCUAUGGGGUUUCUAUGGGUCUCUGUGGGUCCCUAUGGGUUUCUAUGUGUCCCUAUGGGUCCCUAUGCAUCUCUAUGCGUUUCUAUGGGUCCCUAUGCGUUUCUAUGGGCCCCUAUGUGUUUCUAUGGGUCUCUAUGGGUCCCUAUGUGUUUCUAUGGGUCCCUAUGGGUUUCUAUGGGUCCCUAUGGGUCUCUAUGGGUCUCUAUGGGUCCCUAUGGGUCCGUAUGUGUCUCUAUGGGGUCUCUAUGGGUCCCUAUGCGUCUCUAUGCGUCUCUGUGGGUCCCUAUGUGUUUCUAUGGGUCCCUAUGGGUCUCUAUGGGUCCCUAUGUGUUUCUAUGGGUUCCUAUGGGUCUCUAUGGGUCCCUAUGCGUUUUUAUGGGGUCCCUAUGGGUCUCAAUGUAUCUCUAUGGGGUUUCUAUGUGUCUCUAUGGGGUCUCUAUGGGUCCCUAUGUGCCUCUGUGGGUCCCUAUGGGGUCUCUAUGUGUUUCUAUGGGGUCCCUAUGGGUCUCAGUGUGUCUCUAUGGGGUCUCUAUGUGUUUCUAUGGGGUCCCUAUGGGUCUCUAUGGGUCUCUAUGGGGCCCCUAUGGGUCUCAAUGGGUCCCUAUGGGUCUCUAUGGGUCUCUAUGGGGUCCCUAUGGGUCUCUAUGUGUCCCUAUGGGGUCUCUAUGUGUUUCUAUGGGUCUCUAUGGGGUCCCUAUGGGUCUCUAUGGGGCCCCUAUGGGUCUCAAUGUGUCUCUAUGGGUCUCUAUGUGUUUCUAUGGGGCACCCCACAGUCCCUGGCCCUACGGGAGCAGCUCUCCCGCCGUCGUUCCGGCCUGGAGGACGUACCCAGCGAUGGGGACAGCUCGCCCCCUCCCCCCGAGGGUCGGCGCCGGGCUGCAGUAGCGCAGAGGGAACGCGUGGCGGCGCUGUGCCGACAGCUCGGCCGCCUGCAGGAGGAGGCGGCGGCGGCUCAAAGGGAGCUGGGCAGGGCACAGGAAGUGGGGGC
This 1255-nucleotide long non-coding RNA is filed under the name Coturnix japonica (Japanese quail). RNAcentral's name for it is "lncRNA (ENSCJPG00005001473.1)". Lineage: Eukaryota; Metazoa; Chordata; Aves; Galliformes; Phasianidae. The record is from RNAcentral.